GACGAACGCUGGCGGCGUGCCUAACACAUGCAAGUCGAGCGGGGAUUUAAGUGGAAGUUCUUCGGUAUGGAGCUUUAAAUUCUAUCAGCGGACGGGUUAGUAACGCGUGUAGAAUCUGUCCCGGACAGGGGGAUAACACUUGGAAACAGGUGCUAAUACCGCAUAAGACCACUCCCUCGCAUGGGCCUGAUGUAAAAAGAGCAAUCCGGAUCGGGGUGGGUUGGGGUCCGAUUAGCAAGUUGGUGAGGUACCGGCCCACCAAGGCGACGAUCGGUAGCCGGGGUGAGGGGGAGACGGGCCACAUUGGAACUGAGGGAAGGGCCAGGCAACUACGGGAGGUGGGCGUAGGGAAGAUUGGGCAAGGGGCGAGAGCCUGAGAAGCAAUGCCGAGUGAGGGAAGAAGGUUUUCGGAAUGAAGACCUCUGUGCUAUGAGACGAAGGAAGUGACGGUACCAAAGGAGGAAGCCCCGGCUAACUACGUG
Molecule: ribosomal RNA, 482 nt
Filed under: uncultured bacterium
Lineage: Bacteria
Description: partial 16S ribosomal RNA
Rfam family: Bacterial small subunit ribosomal RNA
Source: RNAcentral